This 252-nucleotide ribosomal RNA is filed under the name uncultured bacterium. Its description in RNAcentral is "partial 16S ribosomal RNA". It matches the Rfam family "Bacterial small subunit ribosomal RNA", at positions 524 to 776 of the family's 1533-position model. The record is from RNAcentral.
UACGUAGGGGGCGAGCGUUGUCCGGAUUUAUUGGGCGUAAAGAGCGUGUAGGCGGCUUGGUAGGUCUCGCGUCAAAACCUGCGGCUCAACCGCAGUUCGCGUGGGAAACCACCUAGCUAGAGUCCGGAAGAGGAGAACGGAAUUCCCAGUGUAGCGGUGAAAUGCGCAGAUAUUGGGAAGAACACCAGUGGCGAAGGCGGUUCUCUGGGCCUUACCUGACGCUGAGGCGCGAAAGCUAGGGGAGCGAACAGG